This 497-nucleotide ribosomal RNA is filed under the name uncultured bacterium. RNAcentral describes it as "partial 16S ribosomal RNA". It matches the Rfam family "Bacterial small subunit ribosomal RNA", at positions 28 to 507 of the family's 1533-position model. The record is from RNAcentral.
GAUGAACGCUGGCGGCGUGCCUAAUACAUGCAAGUCGAGCGAACAGACGAGGAGCUUGCUCCUCUGACGUUAGCGGCGGACGGGUGAGUAACACGUGGAUAACCUACCUAUAAGACUGGGAUAACUUCGGUAAACCGGAGCUAAUACCGGAUAAUAUAUUGAACCGCAGGGUUCAAUAGUGAAAGACGGUUUUGCUGUCACUUAUAGAUGGAUCCGCGCCGCAUUAGCUAGUUGGUAAGGUAACGGCUUACCAAGGCAACGAUGCGUAGCCGACCUGAGAGGGUGAUCGGCCACACUGGAACUGAGACACGGUCCAGACUCCUACGGGAGGCAGCAGUAGGGAAUCUUCCGCAAUGGGCGAAAGCCUGACGGAGCAACGCCGCGUGAGUGAUGAAGGUCUUCGGAUCGUAAAACUCUGUUAUUAGGGAAGAACAAAUGUGUAAGUAACUAUGCACGUCUUGACGGUACCUAAUCAGAAAGCCACGGCUAACUACGUG